GGGGGUGUAACUCAGUUGGUAGAGUACAUGCUUAGUAAGCAUGAAGUCCUGUAUUCAGUCCCC
RNAcentral lists this transfer RNA (63 nucleotides) under Mesocricetus auratus (golden hamster). It matches the Rfam family "tRNA". Rfam says of the family: Transfer RNA (tRNA) molecules are approximately 80 nucleotides in length. Their secondary structure includes four short double-helical elements and three loops (D, anti-codon, and T loops). The record is from Rfam by way of RNAcentral. Lineage: Eukaryota; Metazoa; Chordata; Mammalia; Rodentia; Cricetidae.